AAUCAACGCUGGCGGCGUGCCUAACACAUGCAAGUCGAACGCGAAAGCCCCGCAAGGGGUAAGUAGAGUGGCAAACGGGUGAAUAACACGUGGGUGACCUGCCUUCGAGUGGGGGAUAACGUCCCGAAAGGGACGCUAAUACCGCAUGACAUCCUGCUUUUGAAAAAGCGGAGAUCAAAGCUGGGGAUCGCAAGACCUAGCGCUUGAAGAGGGGCCCGCGCCUGAUUAGCUAGUUGGUGAGGUAACGGCUCACCAAGGCGACGAUCAGUAUCCGGCCUGAGAGGGCGGACGGACACACUGGGACUGAGACACGGCCCAGACUCCUACGGGAGGCAGCAGUGGGGAAUUGUUCGCAAUGGGCGCAAGCCUGACGACGCAACGCCGCGUGGAGGACGAAGAUCUUCGGGUCGUAAACUCCUGUCGAGCGGGACGAACGCUUCGCGGAUGAAUAAUCCGCGGAAUUGACGGUACCGCUAAAGGAAGCCCCGGCUAACUCCGUG
This 500-nucleotide ribosomal RNA is filed under the name uncultured bacterium. RNAcentral describes it as "partial 16S ribosomal RNA". It matches the Rfam family "Bacterial small subunit ribosomal RNA", at positions 32 to 507 of the family's 1533-position model. The record is from RNAcentral.